RNAcentral lists this small RNA (78 nucleotides) under Flavobacterium succinicans. RNAcentral's name for it is "Flavo-1 RNA". It matches the Rfam family "Flavo-1 RNA". The record is from Rfam by way of RNAcentral. Lineage: Bacteria; Pseudomonadati; Bacteroidota; Flavobacteriia; Flavobacteriales; Flavobacteriaceae.
CCCUAGCCCAGAUAGUAACGGCAUCCUUUUGCUGCCUUCUUUAGGCAGGAAAAGAUAGAGUGGAUAGCUGGAAAUAGC